This 286-nucleotide ribosomal RNA is filed under the name Samobius puncticollis. Its description in RNAcentral is "partial 12S ribosomal RNA". The record is from RNAcentral. Lineage: Eukaryota; Metazoa; Arthropoda; Insecta; Coleoptera; Curculionidae.
UAGUAUUAGUUAUGUUCUUGAAAAUCAAAAGAGUUGGCGGUAUUUUAGUCUAUUCAGAGGAACCUGUCCUAUAAUUGAUGGUCCACGAUCUUUAGUACUUAAUUUAAAGGUUUGCAUAUCGCCGUAGUUUGAAUAUUCUUGAAAGAAUUAAAUGUUCAAAAUUUUUUUAAAGAAGGGAAUUCAGGUCAAGAUGUAGCGUAUAGUUAAGAAGAGAUGGGUUACAAUAAGUUUACUUAAAAUGGAUUAAUAUAUUGAAAUUUUUUAUGAAGGUGGAUUUGAAGGUAAU